Molecule: ribosomal RNA, 716 nt
Filed under: Lysinibacillus sp. LR96
Lineage: Bacteria; Bacillati; Bacillota; Bacilli; Caryophanales; Bacillaceae
Description: bacterial SSU rRNA
Rfam family: Bacterial small subunit ribosomal RNA
Source: RNAcentral
AGUCGAGCGAACAGAGAAGGAGCUUGCUCCUUUGACGUUAGCGGCGGACGGGUGAGUAACACGUGGGCAACCUACCUUAUAGUUUGGGAUAACUCCGGGAAACCGGGGCUAAUACCGAAUAAUCUAUUUUACUUCAUGGUGAAAUACUGAAAGACGGUUUCGGCUGUCGCUAUAAGAUGGGCCCGCGGCGCAUUAGCUAGUUGGUGAGGUAACGGCUCACCAAGGCGACGAUGCGUAGCCGACCUGAGAGGGUGAUCGGCCACACUGGGACUGAGACACGGCCCAGACUCCUACGGGAGGCAGCAGUAGGGAAUCUUCCACAAUGGGCGAAAGCCUGAUGGAGCAACGCCGCGUGAGUGAAGAAGGAUUUCGGAUCGUAAAACUCUGUUGUAAGGGAAGAACAAGUACAGUAGUAGCUGGCUGUACCUUGACGGUACCUUAUUAGAAAGCCACGGCUAACUACGUGCCAGCAGCCGCGGUAAUACGUAGGUCGCAAGCGUUGUCCGGAAUUAUUGGGCGUAAAGCGCGCGGCGGCCCCCCUCUUAAGUCUGAUGUGAAACCCUCGGCUCACCCGUGCAGGGUCAUUGGAACUUGGCGACUUGAGUGCAGAAGAGGAGAGUGAAAUUCCCAGUGUAGCGGUGAAAUGCGUAGAGAUUUGGAGGAACACCAGUGGCGAAGGCGACUUUCUGGUCUGUAACUGACGCUGAGGCGCGAAA